AUUGAACGCUGGCGGCAGGCCUAACACAUGCAAGUCGAGCGGAUGAAGGGAGCUUGCUCCUGGAUUUAGCGGCGGACGGGUGAGUAAUGCCUAGGAAUCUGCCUGGUAGUGGGGGAUAACGUCCGGAAACGGGCGCUAAUACCGCAUACGUCCUGAGGGAGAAAGUGGGGGAUCUUCGGACCUCACGCUAUCAGAUGAGCCUAGGUCGGAUUAGCUAGUUGGUGGGGUAAAGGCCUACCAAGGCGACGAUCCGUAACUGGUCUGAGAGGAUGAUCAGUCACACUGGAACUGGGACACGGUCCAGACUCCUACGGGAGGCAGCAGUGGGGAAUAUUGGACAAUGGGCGAAAGCCUGAUCCAGCCAUGCCGCGUGUGUGAAGAAGGUCUUCGGAUUGUAAAGCACUUUAAGUUGGGAGGAAGGGCAGUAAGUUAAUACCUUGCUGUUUUGACGUUACCAACAGAAUAAGCACCGGCUAACUUCGUG
This 484-nucleotide ribosomal RNA is filed under the name uncultured bacterium. RNAcentral's name for it is "partial 16S ribosomal RNA". It matches the Rfam family "Bacterial small subunit ribosomal RNA", at positions 30 to 507 of the family's 1533-position model. The record is from RNAcentral.